This 90-nucleotide small RNA is filed under the name Caballeronia concitans. RNAcentral's name for it is "Burkholderia sRNA Bp1_Cand684_SIPHT". It matches the Rfam family "Burkholderia sRNA Bp1_Cand684_SIPHT". The record is from Rfam by way of RNAcentral. Lineage: Bacteria; Pseudomonadati; Pseudomonadota; Betaproteobacteria; Burkholderiales; Burkholderiaceae.
AAGAAAGUGACCCCCGCCCCGGGGAGGGGCAACGCAAAUAGACCGACACGAAUACAAGUUCAACGACAAGAAAGAAGCCUAAAGCCGCUU